Molecule: transfer-messenger RNA, 352 nt
Filed under: Mangrovibacillus cuniculi
Lineage: Bacteria; Bacillati; Bacillota; Bacilli; Caryophanales; Bacillaceae
Description: Standard tmRNA
Rfam family: transfer-messenger RNA
About the family: Bacterial tmRNA, also known as 10Sa RNA or SsrA, is named for its dual tRNA and mRNA-like properties. Its role is to liberate the mRNA from a stalled ribosome.
Source: Rfam by way of RNAcentral
GGGGACGUUACGGAUUCGACAGGGGUAGUUCGAGCUUGGGUGGCGAGUCGGAGGGUCGGCUCCGUAUCAACGCACGCCUAAAUAUAACUGGCAAAAAUAAUAAUUUAGCACUAGCUGCCUAAUGCAGCUGCUCCCCCCUCUAUCGCCCAUGUAGUAGGGUAAGGAGCUCAAAUUUAGUGGGCUACGCCGGAGUUCUCCGUCUGGGGACGAAGGAAGAGAAUAAUCAGACUAGCUGCUCGGACGCCUGUUGGUAGGCAUAAGAAGCGGCGAAACACAAAUAUACCAACUACACUCGUAGAAGCCUAAGUGGCGUUAUCUUUGGACGUGGGUUCGACUCCCACCGUCUCCACCA